This 626-nucleotide unclassified non-coding RNA is filed under the name Neodiprion lecontei (redheaded pine sawfly). RNAcentral's name for it is "glycogen-binding subunit 76A, transcript variant X6". Lineage: Eukaryota; Metazoa; Arthropoda; Insecta; Hymenoptera; Diprionidae. The record is from RNAcentral.
CACGACUUUGGAUACGUGCCUCCAGGCCUCUAAAUUCGUGCACAUUAUCCCCCAGUGGAUAAGCAAAUAGACGAUGGAUGCCAGGACGAGAAAUGCUGCUACAGAAACGAGUUUGUAGUGGAUUAUGAAGCCAGCUGCCGCACUUGCUGCGAGCGCCUCUCAUGGAUUAAUCACAGUACGUAACAAGCCAUCUAAAAUAUUGGACAACGCGGCAGAUGGAGCCGCCAGUGUUCGUAUUGAACGUCUGUAUCCGCCUAUGGCUGCAGCCGAAAGCACUUUCAGGGUAUAUAGCUCGAUCCUAGAUGCUGGACGACGAGUAUAAAGAUUUAUCAUCACUUAUUCUUACGAUGGCAUCAAAAAUCUACGUCGCAGUGGAAAGACCGACGAUAAAUCACGAUGAGUUACAAAGAUCCCUGAGUCGAUAGUUAGAAAAUUUAUACGUACACACGCGUAAAGGUGAUUUUCAUGGCUUAAAUUUUCGGUUAUUAACAGUUGGUUAAAUGUGAAAUUAUACGUCAGUGGCUCUAUACAUCAUUUUGUUUGACGUUAAACAAUAUUCAAUAUCUGACGAGCUUUGUAAAUCAGUUUAGAGUGUAAAUAAAAUUACAAAAGCAGCCCUUUCUGAU